UAGUCAAUGCUCGCAAGAGUGAACUAGCUAACUGAAAUCAAAGAGUUAAAUUUAACUCAUGAUGUCGUAAGGGAAAAUAAUGAUAAUACCUUACUAUUAGUGUCGUCCAAAUCUGGUGCCAGAAGACUCGGUAAGACCAGAGACGCAAACGUUAAUCAUCAUAAUCAGGCGUAAAGGGUUUGUAGGCAGCCUCCAUCCCCUCAAAUCCCCGUCCCCCUCCCGCACUCUACUCCGUCCCCGUCCCUCCCCGCUCGGCCCGUGUCCGCCCCGCCUUAAAUCCUUAAGGCGGUGCGGACCGGGUGCGACGGUGCGGGGCUGGGCGGGUCUGGGCCGGGCCAGGGGGAAAGAACGGAGUCUUUGAGGGAGCCGGAAAGCUAGAAUCAAAAAGAGGUUAUAGUGUAUAACGCCUAGAGGAGGGCUGAUAUCCAUAGAUUCUAGGCAGAAUACUCAGGGCGAAGGCCACUCUCCACUAAUGAUUGACGCUGAGAAACGAAGGUUAGGAUAGGAAAUAGGAUUAGAUACCCCGGUACUCCUUUCUGUAAACGAUGAAUGGUAGUCAUUAGUUUUUUAACUAGAGACGAAGUUAACACAAUAACCAUUCCGCCUUGUGAGUACUACUGCAAAGUAGAAAACAAAAAAAUUAGUCGGUCUCGAAGCAAACGGAGUGAAGCAUGUUAUUUAAU
This 683-nucleotide ribosomal RNA is filed under the name Favolus acervatus. RNAcentral's name for it is "partial small subunit ribosomal RNA". It matches the Rfam family "Bacterial small subunit ribosomal RNA", at positions 365 to 950 of the family's 1533-position model. The record is from RNAcentral. Lineage: Eukaryota; Fungi; Basidiomycota; Agaricomycetes; Polyporales; Polyporaceae.